AUCACGAUUAUCGAAAUAUUUUUCAUCGAACCGCCAGCCAUGGAGAACAUUCAGAAAACCAGCAAAGAAAAAUGGUUUCAUUUUAGGAAAAAAUUUAGGUCCUUAUUCAAACAAGCCUAAUUCUACCUGGAAAAAGAGAGGGGAAGAGGAUUUUGCAAACAAAAUCUUUACAACGCACCUUAAACACAAAUAUUAUCGAUGAACUGAAGUAAAAAACGUGAGAGUAAGCGGAGUAAGUAUAAAAAACUAAUAUUUUGAAAAACUUUUUAGCCAAUGCCAGUGUAGAUUUAAAAUUAUUAGAGUAAAAGAAAGGCAUCCGAUUAAAUUUUAAACUAAAAAAACAAAAACAAUGAGCAGUAGAUGCAGGAUAGGCUUAGGAAAUUAUAAUUAUAAUAUACUUUGCUACAAUGAUUAAUAUCAACUUUAAACAAAGAAUUGUUAAAUUGAUAGUCACUUAGGAAAUUAUUAAAAAAAAAAUCUGUAACACGACACUACACAAAUAUGUAAAAUCUCACCUACACGAACACAAAUAUCAUCAAACGUUAACAUUCGGAUACAGCGGAUAGCAGCAAUACAACUACAACAUUUCGGACAACACAUUUGGCAUCAACGAAUUAUUGGAAGUAUUGCAUUCAUAAAUUGCAGAAAAUUGAGACAGGAGAUGAGUUGUAUAAAAAAAUGGUGGAACAUAACAAUGAUGGAGAUACAAGGCAAAGAAUGGUUAUGAUGCUAAAUUAUAUUACAUGGAAUAGUUUCUGUUUGUUCAGUCAGAAGCAAAAACUUCUCAACCGGAAAAAUAUAUAUCAAAACUGACAAUUAAGGCAAGACAUCCAAAUACAAUUCUCGGAUCUAAUGGAAAGGAACAAGUAUGGCAAAAUGAUGAAACAUGAUCUGUACACUACAAUCAGAUCUUAUGGAAUGGAAUGAAAAGUUUCGAUUGAGGUCCACGAAAAUUUUAUCGACUGCAGAACACAAAGAAGGACUAACGCAGAUCUCUA
Long non-coding RNA from Culex quinquefasciatus (southern house mosquito), 998 nucleotides. RefSeq lists it as uncharacterized. The record is from RefSeq and is a predicted model, not a curated record. NCBI's taxonomy places the organism in Eukaryota, Metazoa, Arthropoda, Insecta, Diptera, Culicidae. The transcript has 2 exons.